Oncorhynchus nerka (sockeye salmon) is the source of this 2593-nucleotide long non-coding RNA. RefSeq lists it as uncharacterized. The transcript is spliced from 2 exons. The record is from RefSeq and is a predicted model, not a curated record. Lineage: Eukaryota; Metazoa; Chordata; Actinopteri; Salmoniformes; Salmonidae.
AACAACAUUGCUACCACUGCUAGCAGUUUGCAUAAACGGAUUAGAUAACAUGACCAAUGGGAGAAAGUGCAUCAAAACCGAAAACCGACCUGGGAUUUACUGAAACCCUGUACUAAACCCCGAGUCACAAUCUACAGAGCUCAGAUAGCAUCAUUUGCCAACCAACACAGCAAUCAGAGCAAUGAGUUACAUUGCCUCGAUUGGAUUUGAAACAGACAAGGCUUGAUUCGAGAGAGCUUGACAACCGCUGCUCUCCAUAUAGCUUCUGCAUGCGCUUCAUAUGUGAAGCCGAAAUCCACAGGAAGUGAAACAUUGACACUGUUGUCAUUGCUUUCGUUUCGUUGAUGAAACCGAGUGGUAAUUGCAUACGAUGACAGAGGGAAUGAAACUGUGUUCGUUGUUUGAAGUAACUUCUUUGUUGUUGUAAUAUCGCAGGGCGGACGUGGCCGUUUCACAGAGUACGGAUUCCAGCUUUAAAUUAGGAUCUUAUCAAAGAUAUGAUACAUGAGGUUGGUGUUAUUCUCCAGGUCUACUGUAGACUAUUGCAGAUGGAGUAGAGCGUAUGGACAUUGUACUGAUUCUGUACUGAUUCUAUCCGGCUGCACCAACACCUCUCAUUAAGAUUACAUAACAGUACCAUGGCAACAGACUGCACCACAGGCUGGAUCACCUUGCAUUGAAUCACAUGACAACCCACCGAGAGGGACUACUUUCUCUCAAUCAACCCGGACAACUGCCUUGUCCAAUUGCAUAUGGACACGGCCCAGAGGUCCGGGCUGAACCUUGCCAGCUGGGGAAUGUAGUCAGCCACCUACGCAACAGAAAAGAAGGCAACAUAUCAACACUUACCAUUCCCCAUGGGCAUUUAAUCAGGAAAUGAUCAUCACCACCAUCACCACGCAGUCUCACUGACCCCGGGGCCUCUCCCUCACCCACCUGUCCCCCUCCCAGGUGUUUGGCAUUCUCAUAGAGAGCGUCGAUUUCGGAGGCAAAGGACACAAAGUCGGGGAUAACAAACUUCUUCCUGAAGGCCUGGGUGAGCAGCACGAUGUUGCUCUGGACACACCUGGGAGAGAAAAGGAGACAGUGGUGUUUUAUGUCAGGUACCAGAGUCUCCUUAUGACUAGUGUAACACAUGGAGUCCUGUGUGCUUCAGUUGGAAGAGCAAGACACUUGCAAUGCCUGGGUCACGGGUUCAAUACCCGCUGGGGCCACCGAUAAGAAACUCUAUGCAUGCAAGUCGCUUUGGAUCAAAGCAUCUGCUAAAUGGAAUAUAUUACUACAUUGUUAUUGUACAUAUGAUACAGGGAAUAGAAAACUGUGAGGAAUUAGCUCAUAGAUUUGUAUAAGAUGUUAUAUGACAUCAGAUAUAUAUUUACCCUGUCCUAUCCCUGCUACUGUAUAAAAUCAGAUAUCUAUUUACCCUGUCCUAUCCCUGCUACUGUAUAGAAUCAGAUAUCUAUUUACCCUGUCCUAUCCCUGCUACUGUAUAAAAUCAGAUAUCUAUUUACCCUGUCCUAUCCCUGCUACUGUAUAGAAUCAGAUAUCUAUUUACCCUGUCCUAUCCCUGCUACUGUAUAGAAUCAGAUAUAUAUUUACCCUGUCCUAUCCCUGCUACUGUAUAAAACCAGAUAUCUAUUUGCCCUGUCCUAUCCCUGCUACUGUAUAAAAUCAGAUAUCUAUUUACCCUGUCCUAUCCCUGCUACUGUAUAAAAUCAGAUAUCUAUUUACCCUGUCCUAUCCCUGCUACUGUAUAGAAUCAGAUAUCUAUUUACCCUGUCCUAUCCCUGCUACUGUAUAGAAUCAGAUAUAUAUUUACCCUGUCCUAUCCCUGCUACUGUAUAGAAUCAGAUAUCUAUUUACCCUGUCCUAUCCCUGCUACUGUAUAAAAUCAGAUAUCUAUUUACCCUGUCCUAUCCCUGCUACUGUAUAAAACCAGAUAUCUAUUUACCCUGUCCUAGCCCUGCUACUGUAUAAAAUCAGAUAUCUAUUUACCCUGUCCUGUCCCUGCUACUGUAUAGAAUCAGAUAUCUAUUUACCCUGUCCUAUCCCUGCUACUGUAUGCGCCCACUGGUGCGUUUACUGUAUAGGUUUCUCUUGCCCAUAAAUCGUUGCCUCCCAGAUGGCUUCCAGUCAAAGCUACUGCAGCUCCUAGCAUGUUUGUUUAGCUCCUAGUGUGUUGUCUUAUGAUCUGUAUCCUGCAGGGUGGCUUGCCUACAGAGUGGUUUCUCAAGCGGUCACUGGGCUAUGUGUGCUAUGUCACAUGGUAUGUCCUAGGGAUGUAAACAGGAACAAUCUUUUUAAAGCAAAUAUCAGCUGAUCUGGAAAGGACAGUUCUUGUGAUCGUAGAGAUGAGGCUCUUGACAAAUUGCCAUUCAUUAUUUUUGUAACAAGGAUAUUUUAAAAUGAACGGGAUUGAUAUGACCUUGGCAAUCUGAAAGGACUAGGCUAUGACAUGCUUCCUUAUAAAGGCUGAACUACUAUGAAUAAUUCAUGACUUGAAAUGCAUUGAGCAAAUACUUCUAAGGAACCUGAAUAAGUUAUGGCCCUACACGAACUGUGUUUAAAUAAAGGAGGCACACAAAUGACUAAA